GGAUAGCUCAUCUGGUAAAACAUGAGACUCUUAACCUCAGGGUCAUAGGUUCGAGCCCCAUGUUGGGCA
Molecule: non-coding RNA, 69 nt
Organism: Podarcis lilfordi (Lilford's wall lizard)
Lineage: Eukaryota; Metazoa; Chordata; Lepidosauria; Squamata; Lacertidae
Source: the annotation of a GenBank genome assembly